Molecule: transfer RNA, 72 nt
Filed under: Bacteroides ovatus
Lineage: Bacteria; Pseudomonadati; Bacteroidota; Bacteroidia; Bacteroidales; Bacteroidaceae
Also listed under: 1 other name
Description: tRNA-Lys
Source: RNAcentral
GAGGCUUUUAAAGGUCUUGAGAGCACAACACUUUUAAUGUUGGGGUCCUGGGUUCGAGCCCCAGGCGGAUCA